UACGGGGGGUGCGAGCGUUGUUCGGAUUUAUUGGGCGUAAAGCGCGUGCAGGCGGUUUGUUAAGUCUGAUGUGAAAGCCCCGGGCCCAACCCGGGAAGUGCAUUGGAUACUGGCAGACUUGAAUACGGGAGAGGAGAGUGGAAUUCCUGGAGUAGGGGUGAAAUCCGUAGAUAUCAGGAAGAACACCGGUGGCGAAGGCGGCUCUCUGGAACGAUAUUGACGCUGAGACGCGAAAGCGUGGGUAGCAAAC
RNAcentral lists this ribosomal RNA (250 nucleotides) under uncultured bacterium. Its description in RNAcentral is "partial 16S ribosomal RNA". It matches the Rfam family "Bacterial small subunit ribosomal RNA", at positions 524 to 773 of the family's 1533-position model. The record is from RNAcentral.